CCUACGGGGAGCUGCAGUGGGGAAUAUUGGACAAUGGGCGAAAGCCUGAUCCAGCCAUGCCGCGUGUGUGAAGAAGGCCUUCGGGUUGUAAAGCACUUUCAGUGGGGAAGAAAGCCUUGGGGCUAAUACCCUCGAGGAAGGACAUCACCCACAGAAGAAGCACCGGCUAACUCCGUGCCAGCAGCCGCGGUAAUACGGAGGGUGCGAGCGUUAAUCGGAAUUACUGGGCGUAAAGCGCGCGUAGGCGGUCUGAUAAGCCGGUUGUGAAAGCCCCGGGCUCAACCUGGGAACGGCAUCCGGAACUGUCAGGCUAGAGUGCAGGAGAGGAAGGUAGAAUUCCCGGUGUAGCGGUGAAAUGCGUAGAGAUCGGGAGGAAUACCAGUGGCGAAGGCGGCCUUCUGGACUGACACUGACGCUGAGGUGCGAAAGCGUGGGUAGCAAACAGGAUUAGAUACCCCAGUCGUC
This 465-nucleotide ribosomal RNA is filed under the name Vreelandella stevensii. Its description in RNAcentral is "partial 16S ribosomal RNA". It matches the Rfam family "Bacterial small subunit ribosomal RNA", at positions 338 to 795 of the family's 1533-position model. Lineage: Bacteria; Pseudomonadati; Pseudomonadota; Gammaproteobacteria; Oceanospirillales; Halomonadaceae. The record is from RNAcentral.